AAAACGACUCUCGGCAACGGAUAUCUCGGCUCUCGCAUCGAUGAAGAACGUAGCGAACUGCGAUACUUGGUGUGAAUUGCAGAAUCCCGUGAACCAUCGAGUCCUUGAACGCAAGUUGCGCCCGAAGCCAUUAGGCCGAGGGCACGUCUGCCUGGGCGUCACGC
This 164-nucleotide ribosomal RNA is filed under the name Swertia hispidicalyx. Its description in RNAcentral is "5.8S ribosomal RNA". It matches the Rfam family "5.8S ribosomal RNA". Rfam says of the family: 5.8S ribosomal RNA (5.8S rRNA) is a component of the large subunit of the eukaryotic ribosome. It is transcribed by RNA polymerase I as part of the 45S precursor that also contains 18S and 28S rRNA. The record is from RNAcentral. Lineage: Eukaryota; Viridiplantae; Streptophyta; Magnoliopsida; Gentianales; Gentianaceae.